UACGGGGGGUGCGAGCGUUGUCCGGAAUCACUGGGCGUAAAGGGCGCGUAGGUGGUUUGAUAAGGGUGUGGUGAAAGUCCGGGGCUCAACCCCGGAUCUGCCGUGCCGACUGUCAAACUCGAGGGCUGUAGAGGCAGACGGAAUUCCGGGUGUAGCGGUGGAAUGCGUAGAGAUCCGGAGGAAGACCGGUGGCGAAGGCGGUCUGCUGGGCAGUUUCUGACACUGAUGCGCGAUAGCGUGGGGAGCAAACAGG
RNAcentral lists this ribosomal RNA (253 nucleotides) under uncultured bacterium. RNAcentral's name for it is "partial 16S ribosomal RNA". It matches the Rfam family "Bacterial small subunit ribosomal RNA", at positions 524 to 776 of the family's 1533-position model. The record is from RNAcentral.